UUCCGUAGGGUGAACCUGCGGAGGGAUCAUUACCGAGUUUACAACUCCCAAACCCCAAUGUGAACGUUACCAAUCUGUUGCCUCGGCGGGAUUCUCUGCCCCGGGCGCGUCGCAGCCCCGGAUCCCAUGGCGCCCGCCGGAGGACCAACUCAAACUCUUUUUUCUCUCCGUCGCGGCUUCCGUCGCGGCUCUGUUUUACCUUUGCUCUGAGCCUUUCUCGGCGACCCUAGCGGGCGUCUCGAAAAUGAAUCAAAACUUUCAACAACGGAUCUCUUGGUUCUGGCAUCGAUGAAGAACGCAGCGAAAUGCGAUAAGUAAUGUGAAUUGCAGAAUUCAGUGAAUCAUCGAAUCUUUGAACGCACAUUGCGCCCGCCAGUAUUCUGGCGGGCAUGCCUGUCCGAGCGUCAUUUCAACCCUCGAACCCCUCCGGGGGGUCGGCGUUGGGGAUCGGCCCCUCACCGGGCCGCCCCCGAAAUACAGUGGCGGUCUCGCCGCAGCCUCUCCUGCGCAGUAGUUUGCACACUCGCACCGGGAGCGCGGCGCGGCCACAGCCGUAAAACACCCCAAACUCUGAAAUGUUGACCUCGGAUCAGGUAGGAAUACCCGCUGAACUUAAGCAUAUCAAUAAGCGGAGGA
Molecule: ribosomal RNA, 636 nt
Filed under: Trichoderma reesei
Lineage: Eukaryota; Fungi; Ascomycota; Sordariomycetes; Hypocreales; Hypocreaceae
Description: eukaryotic LSU rRNA
Rfam family: 5.8S ribosomal RNA (bases 254-407)
Source: RNAcentral